GUUAAUUUUGAUUUUAAAAGAUAUUGCCAUGUAUAUGUAUGUAAUAAUGAUGAGUAAUCAUUUCAGUUUAACUUUACAAAGACUGAUUUUAGAUUGGCACAGAGAUAAAGUAUGUAUUGAUAGUUAUAGAAUGUAUAAGCAAUUAAUUGCAUAGAUGAAAAAAUUCAAAUGGUUUAAAGAAAGCUUAACUUAGAUUGUUUAGAUAGAAUGGUAUAUUUUGAUCAUAUUUGUCUUACUUAACACAUUCAGUAAUUACACAUAGCUCAAGAUGAAUGUGUAUGAAUCGACAGGAACAGCAUUGUAAAGUACCUCAUUGUUGUAUCCUUUAGACCCAUGAAAAGGGCUGUCGCUUACAUCAUUUUAUUUUAUGCUAACUUGCUUCAAAAUUAUCAUGUUUAUGUGGAUAUAAGCUUGGAUGCCAACAUAAUUGUUUCUGCCCGAUUGACGUGUUUUAAUCGCUAAUGUGAGCCUCUGAUUCACGUAAUCGCUUUUGGCCUUUUAUAAUAAAGUGCUGGUUGUUGCAUGAUUGUUUUAUUCUAUAGUAAAUAUCUCUUAAACACAUACAGAAUAUCUAGUACAUUUUAGACAGUUACAUUAUUUCCAUAGCAUUUGACACAACAGUUUACUGGGUGACGAUUCAGUUUAACUAUUUGUUUAAUUUUGUUAUUAAAUUUUUCAGCACUUGUUUUCAGUGAUGGUGAUGAUAUGAGAUAAUAUAUACGAGUGUUAUAACUGAUAUUGGAGAUGAUAUGGCCAGCAUUUCUAGUGUUCAAUUGAUAAAGGAAUUGGAAUGUGUUCCGUGUGCAAUAUAUAUGGAUGAAUAUACUGUUUGUAUAUAAUGGAGAUUCAUACCAGCCUUGUUUUUAAACUUCAUGGCUUCAGUUUUUUUAAGGAGGGAGGAAUGUAACGGCGACCCUAUGUUUUAGAACAGUAUUAUGUCCCUUUAAAAUGGACUGUUGUAAAAUUAACAUUUAAUUACUAUUGUUAAUAUGAAUUAUUGAUAAAAAUUGUUGUUUAACAUGUUUAUAUAUUUAGUUACAUUAUGGUGCUAUAAUU
RNAcentral lists this long non-coding RNA (1056 nucleotides) under Mytilus galloprovincialis (Mediterranean mussel). The record is from RNAcentral. Lineage: Eukaryota; Metazoa; Mollusca; Bivalvia; Mytilida; Mytilidae.